UGAGGAAUAUUGGUCAAUGGACGCAAGUCUGAACCAGCCAAGUAGCGUGCAGGAUGACGGCCCUAUGGGUUGUAAACUGCUUUUAUAUGGGGAUAAAGUGGGGAACGUGUUCCCUUUUGCAGGUACCAUAUGAAUAAGGACCGGCUAAUUCCGUGCCAGCAGCCGCGGUAAUACGGAAGGUUCGGGCGUUAUCCGGAUUUAUUGGGUUUAAAGGGAGCGUAGGCCGUUUGGUAAGCGUGUUGUGAAAUGUAGGAGCUCAACUUCUAGAUUGCAGCGCGAACUGUCAGACUUGAAUGCGCACAACGUAGGCGGAAUUCAUGGUGUAGCGGUGAAAUGCUUAGAUAUCAUGAAGAACUCCGAUUGCGAAGGCAGCUUACGGGAGCGCAACUGACGCUGAAGCUCGAAGGUGCGGGUAUCGAACAGG
This 424-nucleotide ribosomal RNA is filed under the name Verrucomicrobiota bacterium. Its description in RNAcentral is "Verrucomicrobia bacterium partial 16S ribosomal RNA". It matches the Rfam family "Bacterial small subunit ribosomal RNA", at positions 355 to 776 of the family's 1533-position model. The record is from RNAcentral. Lineage: Bacteria; Pseudomonadati; Verrucomicrobiota.